This 314-nucleotide ribosomal RNA is filed under the name uncultured eukaryote. RNAcentral describes it as "partial 18S ribosomal RNA". It matches the Rfam family "Eukaryotic small subunit ribosomal RNA", at positions 1470 to 1796 of the family's 1831-position model. The record is from RNAcentral.
CCCUUAGAUGUUCUGGGCUGCACGCGCGCUACACUGACACUAUCAACGAGUGCUCCUGGUUUGAAAGGAUCGGGUAAUCUUUUGAAAUGGUGUCGUGAUGGGGAUAGAUCAUUGCAAUUAUUGAUCUUGAACGAGGAAUUCCUAGUAAAUGUGAGUCAUCAGCCCACGUUGAUUACGUCCCUGCCCUUUGUACACACCGCCCGUCGCUCCUACCGAUUGAGUGAACCGAUGAGUAGUCCGGAUUGCGAUCGACCUCGGUUAAUCGCGAGAAGUUCCGCAAAUCACUUCACUUAGAGGAAGGAGAAGUCGUAACA